GAAAUGCGAUAAGUAGUGUGAAUUGCAGAAUUCAGUGAAUCAUCGAAUCUUUGAACGCACAUUGCGCCCUUUGGUAUUCCUUAGGGCAUGCCUGUUCGAGCGUCAUCUAAACCUUCAAGCCCUGCUUGGUGUUGGGUGCCUGUCCCGCCUCCGCGCGCGGACUCACCUCAAAUCCAUUGGCGGCCCCCGCGUCGGCCACGAGCGCAGCAGAAACGCGAACUCGUGAGCCCGUCCGGGCGGCUCCCAGAAGCUACACCCACCCAGUUUUACCUCGGAUCAGGUAGGGAUACCCGCUGAACUUAAGC
This 305-nucleotide unclassified non-coding RNA is filed under the name plant metagenome. Its description in RNAcentral is "partial contains 5.8S ribosomal RNA, internal transcribed spacer 2, and large subunit ribosomal RNA". The stretch from base 1 to 105 matches the Rfam family "5.8S ribosomal RNA", at positions 50 to 154 of the family's 154-position model. The record is from RNAcentral.